Molecule: long non-coding RNA, 2376 nt
Organism: Maniola jurtina (meadow brown)
Lineage: Eukaryota; Metazoa; Arthropoda; Insecta; Lepidoptera; Nymphalidae
Exons: 3
Source: RefSeq, a predicted model, not a curated record
CACCUAAACAAUCUGGUGUAUCAAUGAGUGGAAGUUGAACACAAAACCUUCCACUUGACAAUCGAGUGGUAUUGGAUAAAAAAUGUUGUUCACAGGCCUUUUCUGUAUUAGUAAGGCAUGUUUUGUUUGGAAUCUCUUCAAUGUUCCAGAAUUUUGGUAGUAGUUCAUGUACACUUUCUGUUUCUUCAUUUUGUUUUAGUAUUGACUUAUUGCAUUGAAUUUUGUUGGACAUAUUGACAUUUGUAUAAAUUGGACCGGCAAUUAUCCAGCCAAAUUUUGUGUUUCUUAAUUUUGGAAAACUUGGACCUAAGGUAAGUGUAUCAUUACCUAGGACAUCCCAGAAGAGGUCUGCACCAAUGAGGACAUCGAUGGACGAAGGAAUGUCAAAAUUAGUAUCUGCAAGUUUCAAAUUAUUUGGAAUUUUAAAACCUUGUAAAUUCAUAGGAGCAGCAGGAAUUGAACCUGUCAACUCUUUGAGUAAAUAGCAAGUCAAAGCAACGUUAUAAUCUUGGUGUAUUGAACUAAUAUGUGCAAUGCAACUCUCAGUGAUGAAAUUUGAAGAGUUGUUGCCAAUACCUACAACGUUAAUUUUAUUAAUAGGCUGUGACUCGAGACCUAGAAUGUCUUUCAAACGAUUGGUUAAAAAAGAUGAUUGACUUCCGCAAUCUAGUAAAGCGCGGACCUUUAAUGAUUUGUUUAUUUUAGGAUUGGUAACUUCGACUAUGGCUGUAGACAAUAUGACUUGAUUUACUGGUUGUCUAGAAAAAUUGACUAUUGUUUCAGUAGUGUUUUUAGAAUCAUUGCUAUUGGAAUUAGACGGUGCUGUUUGAUCACACAAAAAACUAUUAUGAAACUUCUUGCACUUACGACAAGGACCAAGCCUGCAGUUUCGCUGAUUGUGGCCUAACCUGAGGCAAUUUGUGCAUAGCUUUAGUCGCUGUACGUCAGCUUUUCUUUCUUCUAUACUCUUGGCCUUGAACUUAGCGCAAUCAUAUAUUCUGUGGUCACCUUUGCAUAUAACGCAACCUUUAAUAUUGUUAUUUGGAGUUAGUGAAGUAAAAGAUUUUGUUUGAUUGCUAGUGAUAGAAUUCUGACCUGUAGCAGGGCGUGAAGAGGUGGAUGAUGUCUUAGACCUCUCCAAUCUAUUGCGAUUAAGUGUCUCUAAAAUGUCUGCGCGAUCGGUUAAAAAUUUAUUAAAUUGUGUAAGUGUGGGUAUAUCAUCCAAAGAAUUACGCAUCUCUUCCCACUUAGUAAGUGUACGUGGAUCUAAUUUUGAGCAAAUCAUAUGAAUUAUCAUUAAGUCCCAAUGUUCAGUAGCUUGACCCAAACUAGACAAUGCACGUAAGUUCUUAGUAACUGUGUCCACCACAAAGCGUAAUGAACGAUCAGUCUCGCGUGUCAUAGUUUCGAUUUUAAAAAGAGCAUUUAAAUGAUGAUUAAUAAGUUGUCGCUUGUUAUCGUACCUAUCGCACAAUAAGCGCCACGCGUCAUUAUAGUUAGAAGCAGAAACCUCAAGAUUCGCGAUGACACGAGCAGCGUCACCUUCUAAGUACGAUACCAAAUAAUGAAAUUUAUGAAUAGGCUUGAUGCGCUCGUUGUUGUGUAUAAGCGAUAAAAAUGUGUCGCGGAAUUCAAGCCACCGAAAAUAGGCACCAUCGAAUUUAUUAAUUUGCAAUUGCGGUAACUUAAACUCAGCUUCAUAGUGUUCGCGAUGGCACUGAGACAAGGACGAGUUGCUUUGAUCGUGACUGUCUUUAUGACUAUUUGAUUCGUUAAUAAUAGUUUGAGCUAUAGCCAUACAUGUCGCACAGUCCUGCUCAAUGGCAUCUCGUUCGUUGAUUUCAAAAGCUAUAUUUUCCGAAUUUAAAACAUCGAUUGAAUCUUGCAACUGCUCGUAUUGAACCGAAAGUAAACGAAAUUUCUCUAAUUUAAUUGUUAAUUCGGAUAUUUGAAUUGCCGUUAAAACUUCUUUUUUAGAAAUAUUAUCGACAUAGUUUUUAAAUUUUGUAAUACGGCCCUUAAUUGACGUUCUUUUUGUUAAUAGGCUCUUUAAAUCGCCUUUGUUGUCGUUAACGUUAGUCAUUUUGUAUAAUAUUUGUUACUCGAAUGAUUCCAAAACUAAUAACUAAAAUAAUAAAAUUCUCACGCUCCUUGUAUAGUCCCUUUGGUGUCACCUGUGAACCGGCAAGCACAGCUCAGCUCCGUGGAACGCGCUGUGUAGCUCGCGGACGCCACGCCACGUCGCGUCGUGAGUAGGUAUAGGUACCCAGCCAAGCUGAAAUCGUCGGCACACUGACCUUGAGUACUUAUUUCAGUACAAUAAGCAAAGGAGUUUUGAUAGGUACUAAUCUGGCUAGUUACCUUUUGACACGUUAA